CAGUAGCCGCGGUAAUACGUAGGUGGCAAGCGUUAUCCGGAAUUAUUGGGCGUAAAGCGCGCGUAGGCGGUUUUUUAAGUCUGAUGUGAAAGCCCACGGCUCAACCGUGGAGGGUCAUUGGAAACUGGAAAACUUGAGUGCAGAAGAGGAAAGUGGAAUUCCAUGUGUAGCGGUGAAAUGCGCAGAGAUAUGGAGGAACACCAGUGGCGAAGGCGACUCUCUGGUCUGUAACUGACGCUGAGGAGCGAAAGCGUGGGGAGCGAACAGGAUUAGAUACCCCGGUAGUCCCUGUCUCUUAUAC
RNAcentral lists this ribosomal RNA (301 nucleotides) under uncultured bacterium. Its description in RNAcentral is "partial 16S ribosomal RNA". It matches the Rfam family "Bacterial small subunit ribosomal RNA", at positions 509 to 807 of the family's 1533-position model. The record is from RNAcentral.